GGCAGUCUGGUGAUUAAAGUGUGUGUGUGUGUGUGGGCAGUUCAGUGUGCUUGCAGAUUAAUGUGCGCAUGUGCCUCUGCUGAACAUGUGUCUAUUAAAGCAGAGUCUGAUCUCAGAGAGACUCAGAUGGAGAGACAGAGAGACAAACAGACAGAUAGACAGACAGACAGACACCAUGUCUCCCUCCCAGUCCUCCCUACUUCUGCUACUGCUGAUGGUCUCCUGCUCCUGGGCCUCACACUUUUUAGGAGGAACCAUGACCUUCAACCCCAGAGGGACCAACCCAGACGGAACCUACAGGGUGGACCUCCGUUACAAGACAGCCUUCCACUCUACCGUCUGCCUAACUGAUACCUGGUCGUGUAUCAGUGGGGACUGUGGGAAUGAGAUCAGUUUAGUGGUUAACACAGUGGACCAGGGGAUAUCUGAGGACUGGUGUCAGACAGAGGGAGUCAUGACUAGACACGUCUCCAAUAACACACAGACUUUUGAUCUGCUAUUGGAUGGCGGAAACUGGAUAAACAAUGUUAAUUCUGUUAGUGCUUGGAGGCUGUGGACUCAUGUGGAUCUUGGGGUCAGGUCUGACACGAAGACAAUCAACCGAUCUCCACAGACCACUGUCGUACCUCUGAUGCGUGUCCCUGCUAAUUGUCCAAGAGAUUUCAACCUGUUGUCGUUUGAUCCAGACGGGGAUGAGGUCAGAUGCAGAUAUGCAGUACCAACGGACGAGUGUGUCACAUCAAGUGACCUUCCUAAUGACUUCACUCUACAAGAGUGGACCCCCCGGUGACAUCCUGUAUGGAGGGCUUGUACCUACCUAUGUUCCUGUCUCCAACGCCAGCCCAGGGUGCACUGCUCUACGCCUCUGCAGACCAACCCCUGGAAAUCACUGUCAGAGCACAGGCUACCCAGUCCACGGUUUCAGAGCUGUUGGUGAGUGGACCUUCCAGUAUCACAGAGAACACCACUGUCCCAGGAGAAUACCUUCUAAGGUGGACGCCCACUGAGGAUGAGGAGGGAGGGUACUAUCCUGUGUGCUUCAUCGCUCAGGGAGUGAACGACAGGUCAGUCUGCUGCCACUUCAACUGGAAACUUAUAGCACAACAUAAUGACUUACCUGAUUAAAUAAAGGCACAAAACAAAGUGACAUAAUGCAUCAUUUCUGUAGGCUACUAUCAAGACGAUCAGUUGAAUGUACAUUUAGACACAUUUUGGUAGAAUCCAUUCAGUUGUGCAACUGACUAGGUUUUAACCUGCCUUUCC
Long non-coding RNA from Oncorhynchus tshawytscha (Chinook salmon), 1263 nucleotides. NCBI's taxonomy places the organism in Eukaryota, Metazoa, Chordata, Actinopteri, Salmoniformes, Salmonidae. The record is from Ensembl.